CAGCAGCUUCCCUAUGCAAAGGAAAAAAGGAAUUGCCUCAGAGCCACAGCAGUUAGCGAGGGGUUGAGGUCGUUUUCUUGUGAAAUGUUUAGCAAUUACCCUUACCCACAACUUAGGCAAUGUUGACCAUUGAGGUAAAAGGAUCCACUCUAUGUGAUGUGUAACUGUGUGGCUGUUGGCUUUACCAAAUAUGAAUGACUAAGGUUGGAGUCGAUGGUAUCUGAAGUAGGCAGAACUGGAGAAAAAUGAUUUCUAUUUCAUGUGUUGCUUUGAGCGAAUCCCUCCCUGAGUUCGCUAUAGUAAAAGAUUUGUGCAGGCACUGCAUUAAAUGAUGGAGAUUUAGCAUUGAAUAAGGUAGUUGAAAGCUCUGCCUAAUUCUCAAAGACUCUCCACUCUACUGGAUAUGAUGAUCUUCUUUUAUUGAACACCUGCUGUGUGCUAGAUGUUGAGUACCCAAAAGCAAGAAUUAUGGGAGACUUCAAUGCCUGUGGAGACUGCUGUUUUCUUCUGAAGGCCCAGGCUGCGCCCAUAGAGUUUGGGGGGAAGAUUAAAUGAGAUGAAGCAGUGGCUUUCAAACUUUUUAGAUAGUGAGCCAUUGUAAGAAUUAUAUUUUGUACUAUGACAAGUAUACUUGUUUAAAGUAGGUACAAUGAAUACUGUUGUUAAUUGUGCUCCUUUUUGAAGAAGUGUGGGUACUGAUUCCUAGUAUAAAAUAUAUGUACAGUAGAGGAAUGCUUUGAUACCUGUAUUUGUUUAAAAGGUAAGGGGGAGUGAAUGAUAUAUUAUAAUAGCCAUGGCAAAAUUUGUUUAUAAGUCUUUGUUUAACAAAUCAUGAAUUUAAGUUUAAGUGAAAUAAAUAAAAAGAAAUAUAUGCAAUAUAAAGGGAAUCUAUAUAUAAUUGAAAUAGUAUACACACAUAUACACUAAUUUAUAUUUGAUUCAA
Molecule: long non-coding RNA, 943 nt
Organism: Eptesicus fuscus (big brown bat)
Lineage: Eukaryota; Metazoa; Chordata; Mammalia; Chiroptera; Vespertilionidae
Exons: 4
Source: RefSeq, a predicted model, not a curated record